GCAUAUCAAUAAGCGGAGGAAAAGAAAAUAACAAUGAUUCCCCUAGUAACUGCGAGUGAAGAGGGAUAAGCUCAAAUUUUAAAUCUGUUAGGUUUUACCUAACCGAAUUGUAAUUUGAAGAAGCGUUUUCCGCGGGUGUUUGAUGGUCCAAGUCCUUUGGGAUGAGGUAUCAUGGAGGGUGACAAUCCCGUACGGCCAUCAUUGCUCGUGUACGAUACGCUUUCAAAGAGUCAAGUUGUUUGGGAUUGCAGCUUAAAAUGGGAGGUAAAUUUCUCCUAAGGCUAAAUAUUGGCGAGAGACCGAUAGCGAACAAGUACCGUGAGGGAAAGAUGAAAAGCACUUUGAAAAGAGAGUUAAAUAGUACGUGAAAUUGUUGAAAGGGAAACGAUUGAAGCCAGUCGUACCGACGGAGAAUCAACCAUUGGAAUGCGAAUCGAGGUAUUCGAAGAGUUUAAAAGCCUUAGUGUGCUUUCGCAUUCGUGCUUCAUGGGUGCACUUCUUCGUAUGGUAGGUUAACAUCAAUUUUGGACGUUACAAAAUGAUCGGGGGAAUGUAGCUUCGAUUUUUCGAAGUGUUAUAGCCCUUGGUAGAUGUGACGACCGGGAUUGAGGAUUGCAACGAAUGCUUUCGGGCUAUCCGUCUGACCUCUGGUGGUCGCUCUGGGGUCGAAAGCGUGCUUACGACUUCAGAGUUUGGCUAUCAAAAGGCUAGAACGUGAUUAAAAUUCGUUAAGGAUGUUGACGUA
RNAcentral lists this ribosomal RNA (745 nucleotides) under uncultured fungus. Its description in RNAcentral is "eukaryotic LSU rRNA". It matches the Rfam family "Eukaryotic large subunit ribosomal RNA", at positions 38 to 633 of the family's 3401-position model. The record is from RNAcentral. Lineage: Eukaryota; Fungi.